GUUCACUUUUGAGAUUCAUUCAACAACAGCGAGUCGUUCGCGAACGAAACACCACUAACUCCAGUCAGUGCGUCUUUUUAUCCGUUUAGCAGGACGUUUUCUCUUCAAGAUAGUUUUCAAAGAGAAUUAUACACUCCAACUACUGAAUAAUCAGUCUGAGAUGUUUGCAGACUAUAGUUUUGCUCAUAUUCCUCCAAGACCUUCACCACAUCCUCAUGGCCGAACUGCAUGGCGUCAUCCCGAGGAAUAUUUCCCCACCUGAAUAAGAGACAUGAGGUCAAUUAUCACCAAACGGAUGAAGCUGAAGAAAACGAUUCUACCCUCUGCAGCAGCUAUGUGAAGAGGUGUACGAGAGUCAUAGUCCUUCAGCUCCAUUUCCAUGGAUGAAAGGGCAAACCUGAGGAACAAUGGAGAAAGAGGGCAAUGAGUCAUUUAUAUUUCAGUAGCACUCAAAAAUUUGGAGUAAUAAAGACAUUGUGAGGUAUAUAAAAUGACCUUCUCAGAGCUGAGACAUCUCCACUGUGGGCUGCAAACAUCAGAUUCACCACUGAUUUAUUCAGAAAAAAAAGAUUUGGUGCAUUAAUUGCUGGAACUAUUAAUCAGUCUAACAAAAAGGUUUAAUAUAGGGUAUUUUCGCAACAUUUGGUGUUUAAAAUUGGUUGAUGUGAAAGUUGUUUUUCUAAUUUUAGAUUUACCCUGUCA
This is a long non-coding RNA of Cyprinus carpio (common carp), 702 nucleotides long. RefSeq lists it as uncharacterized. The transcript has 3 exons. The record is from RefSeq and is a predicted model, not a curated record. Lineage: Eukaryota; Metazoa; Chordata; Actinopteri; Cypriniformes; Cyprinidae.